UACGGAGGGUGCAAGCGUUGUCCGGAUUUAUUGGGUUUAAAGGGUGCGUAGGCGGCCCGUUAAGUCAGUGGUGAAAGCCAACAGCUCAACUGUUGAACUGCCGUUGAUACUGACGGGCUUGAGUACAGACGAGGUAGGCGGAAUUGAAGAUGUAGCGGUGGAAUGCAUAGAUAUCUUCAAGAACACCGAUUGCGUAGGCAGCUUACUAGGCUGUAACUGACGCUGAGGCACGAAAGCGUAGGUAGCGAACAGG
This 253-nucleotide unclassified non-coding RNA is filed under the name uncultured Hymenobacteraceae bacterium. RNAcentral describes it as "contains 16S-23S intergenic spacer region". It matches the Rfam family "Bacterial small subunit ribosomal RNA", at positions 524 to 776 of the family's 1533-position model. Lineage: Bacteria; Pseudomonadati; Bacteroidota; Cytophagia; Cytophagales; Hymenobacteraceae. The record is from RNAcentral.